GCUGGUACCUCAAAUCUCGGGAGAAAUAUUGACUUUUCAAUAAAUGGUGUUGGGACAACUUGGUGGCUAAGGAAAAAGAAAAAAUUUGACCCCAUACUCCAAAUGAAUCUGAGAAUUACAGAUAAAUACUAAAAAUAUUAUAACUGAGGUGUGAGGACAGCUUUCCAAAUGGGUGUCACAAUGAAAAGCAAUAAAAUAAUUAUUGAUUAAUAGGGUUACAUAAAAAGUUUGGAUGGCAUCAAGAUCCUAAGCAAAGUUGAAAGAACAUAUAUCACAAAGUGUUUGUUUCCCCAAGGUAUAAAAAGAUUUUAAAAAUUAAGAUGAAUUCUGGGGUGCUGGUAAUAUUGUUUCUUAACCCAGGUAGUGUUAUAUAUGUGUGUUCGGGUUGUGAAAAUGCAUCAAGCUCUAUGUUUAAGACAUGUAUUUUUCUGAUAGUAAUUGGGCAAAAGAUACAAAAAUGAGUUCUUUUCUUUGUGUCGGUUUUUUAAUUAUAAGAACUUACUAAGUUGGAUGCUUAGCUCAUUAAUUUUCAAACUUUCUUCCAUUCCUAUUUAAGCAUUAAAGGCUAUAGAUUCCUUAAUAUAUACUGCCUCAACUAUAUAUUCCUUAAUAUAUACUGCCUCAACUAUAUAUAUUUGAAAUGUAGUGUUUCUGUUAUUAAUUAAUCAUAAAUACUUUCUCAAUUUCAUUUGUAUUUCUUCCUUAAUCCAUGAGUUAUUUGAAAGUGUAUUUAUUUUUUAUGCAUGUAUUUUUCUAGCUAUCAUCUUGUUAUUGAUUUUAACUUAACUGGAUGACAGAGAAUUUUGUUUGUAUGGCAUCUUAGGAAAUUCUUUUGAGUUAUUUUAUGGUUUGAAAUAUGAUCAGUUCUUAUAAACUAUCAAUUUGUGCUUUAAUACAAUAUUUAUUCUCUGUGGGGUACAAUGUUCUACACAUUUUUAUUAAGCAAGUUUUUAAUUGUGUUGCUUCAAUCUUUACUGAUUUUUUGGUUUAAUUGAUCACAAGUACUGAGAUAGGUAUGUUAUAUUCUUUUUAAAAUUUUAUUUUAUUGUAAUAAGAUCUCUUUUUUUUUUUGAGGAAGAUUAGCCCUGAGCUAACAUCUGCUGCCAAUCCUCCUCUUUUUGCUGAGGAAGACUGGCCCUGAGCUAACAUCUGUGCCCAUCUUCCUCUACUUUAUACGUGGGAUGCCUGCCACAGCAUGGCUUGACAAGUGGUGUGUAGGUCCACACCCAGGAUCCAAACCAGUGAACCCUGGGCCACUGAAGUGGAAUGUGCGAACUGUACUGCUGUGCCACUGGGCUGGCCCCAAUGCUUCAUUUUUUAUUGCUGAAUAAUAUUCCGUUGUAUGGUUAUAUUACAAUUUACACAUUCUCCUCCUAAUGAGCAUCUG
This 1387-nucleotide long non-coding RNA is filed under the name Equus caballus (horse). RNAcentral's name for it is "lncRNA (ENSECAG00000055635.1)". Lineage: Eukaryota; Metazoa; Chordata; Mammalia; Perissodactyla; Equidae. The record is from RNAcentral.